UACUUGCAACUAAAAACUUUUAAUUAAUGCCAUAUUAUUCAAGCAAAUUGAUUAUUGUUAUGGAGACCUGUUUCUGAAGCCAUGCUUACGAAUAGAUGCAAAUCAAAUAAACGCGGUCUAACCCAAAUGAGCUGGGGCAUAUUUGAUGGGUGCGGGUAAAUGAUGGAUCUGCUGUAUGAAACUUUCAUAAUUCAGAUCAUUUGGAGAACUAUAUUCAUAGAGACAUCUACAUUAAAUACAAGUCAUUUGAAUAUGGUCAAUGAAAUGAACAUAUACCAUAGCCAGGUACAAUUUGAAGUUGUCCAAAUUGUCUUCUCAAGCAUCUAAAUAUUUCUCCAAGGUACUAGUCAAGGUAGUCUUGGGCACUGCUCCGAUGACACUUUCUUUCUUCUCACCUUUCUUGAAAAACAGCACAGUUGGAAUGCUCCUUAUUCCAUACCUGUUGGCAAUAUUUGGAGACUCGUCGGUAUUUACCUUGAAACACGCAAUCUUUCCGGCAUAUUCUUUUGCCAAUUCAUCGAUAACCGGCGCUAUCAUCCGACAGGGUCCACACCAGGGUGCCCAAAACUCCACCAGAACAGGGGUUUCUCUGGCAAUCACAAGAUUGUCCCAGCUUGAAUCUGUCACUACUUGGACUUCAUCUAAAGCUUCACGAGCUUUGCAGAAGAUGCGAGACUUUUGGCUUCUGCCUCUCAGAGUGAGUGAAUGGGCAAAGAAAGAAGAUGAUGAAGACAAUGAUAAAUUGGAUAGAUUCAGUCCUUUACAAGAAGUUGGCAAAUGAAGCUUCUCUACAGGAGCAAAAACUACUCCAGCUCUAGCACUAGUGCACACAGUAGUACUCACUUGAAAACAAUUCUUCAUAGCCAUAUCUUCUUCUUACUCUUGAUGGAGUACUAGGAAAGGAUAAUAUUUGAUGAGAAAGAAGAUGUGGCCUUGCCCUCUUGGAUAAGAGGAGUUUGCAAGAUUUUUAUUUUCUUUUUAUCUAUUUAUUUUUCCCUUCUCUUUAA
Molecule: unclassified non-coding RNA, 1007 nt
Filed under: Hevea brasiliensis (rubber tree)
Lineage: Eukaryota; Viridiplantae; Streptophyta; Magnoliopsida; Malpighiales; Euphorbiaceae
Source: RNAcentral